This 252-nucleotide ribosomal RNA is filed under the name uncultured bacterium. RNAcentral's name for it is "partial 16S ribosomal RNA". It matches the Rfam family "Bacterial small subunit ribosomal RNA", at positions 524 to 776 of the family's 1533-position model. The record is from RNAcentral.
UACGUAGGGGCAAGCGUUGUCCGGAGUUAUUGGGCGUAAAGAGCGUGUAGGCGGCCAUACAGGUCCGUUGUGAAAACUCGAGGCUCAACCUCGAGACGUCGAUGGAAACCGUAUGGCUAGAGUCCGGAAGAGGAGAGUGGAAUUCCUGGUGUAGCGGUGAAAUGCGCAGAUAUCAGGAAGAACACCCGUGGCGAAGGCGGCUCUCUGGGACGGUACUGACGCUGAGACGCGAAAGCGUGGGGAGCGAACAGG